Molecule: ribosomal RNA, 537 nt
Filed under: Paletonidistus sp. ARC4823
Lineage: Eukaryota; Metazoa; Arthropoda; Insecta; Coleoptera; Curculionidae
Description: partial 16S large subunit ribosomal RNA
Rfam family: Bacterial large subunit ribosomal RNA
Source: RNAcentral
GGCCUAUUGAAAAUAAUUUUAGGUCUGACCUGCCCAAUGAUUAAUAUUUAAUGGCCGCGGUAAUUUGACCGUGCAAAGGUAGCAUAAUCAUUAGUUUUUUAAUUGAAAGCUUGUAUGAAGGGUUUGAUGAAAAAAUAGCUGUCUCUGUCAAAAUUUAUUAGAAAUUUAUUUUUAAGUAAAAAAGCUUAAAUUUUUAUAGAAGACGAGAAGACCCUAUAGAGUUUUAUAUUAUAUUAAAUGAAUGAGGUUUUAGAAUUAUCUAUUUUAUUUAAUGUUUUAUUUAGUUGGGGUGAUUAAAAAAUUAAAUCAACUUUUUUUUUAUAUUAACAUUUAUUUAUGAAUGAUUGAUCCUUUCUUAAAGAUUAAAAGAUAAAAUUACCUUAGGGAUAACAGCGUAAUUUUUUUUUAGAGUUCUAAUCGAAAAAAAAGAUUGCGACCUCGAUGUUGGAUUAAAAGAAAUUAUUGGUGUAGGAGCUAAUAAAUUAGGUCUGUUCGACCUUUAAAAUUUUACAUGAUCUGAGUUUAAACCGGUGUAAG